AGAAAAAGAAAACUUUUUUUUCUUUUUCUUCUUCCUCCCGUGCGUCGCCGACUGUCCCUCUCUUCUCCUUCCGUUCGCAGCAACCGCCGCCGGCCGUCUCCAUUCCUCUUCUCCUUCCGUUCGUGCGCAGCCGCAGCCCAGCCGCCGAUCCUUUCUCCUCCGUUUUCUUCCCGCCGCAGCCCAGCCGCCCCAUCCGUUCGCACAGCAACCGCCGCCGGCCAUCUCCAUCUUCUCUUCUCCUCUCCGUUCCGUCCAAACCCAGCCGGACGUCGCUGCAACCAUCGGCCAGUUCGCGAGGCAGCCGUACGCGUCACCUUGCGGCCGCCGUACGCGUCACCUUGCGACCGCCGUCCAGAUCUGUACCGCAAGACCUUCCGCCGCUGCAGCCGUUGCUCUUCCGCCGCUGCCCAGCCGUCUCAGCCGGUUCUGUCUCCGUCGAAGCCAAGGCCGCGCCGCGUGAACCAGUAACCGCCACGCUCCCCGCUCACAACUGCCGCUCCACCUGCUAUCGACGUCGGCCGACUAGUUGCUGUAACCGUUCAGAUUUGCUGUAACCGUUCAGAAUUGCUGUAACCAUUCAGAUUCACGGUCUGUUCGCAACGGUCUCCAUCCGUGAAGCCCAGCCGCCACGUCUCAUUUGGCCGACCGCUGACCGACCCACACUUAGGAUUUUGCCGCGAGUUCGACAGUCGUGCGUUGAGGUGUUGGGAGUAACAUUAGGCUCCCUUACAUUCACAACAAGAUUGUGAAUUGUUGAAGGUUCAGUUCGCCAUUAUAUCAGGGAGUUGAAACCUACGUUGAGGAAAAUAAGUGGGAUAUGUAUCGUGAAAGUAAUUGAAUUUUGUGUUGUCAUGCUUAGGAUUGUUUCGAGGACGUUAGUGAUUAAGGAGCGUUUCGAGGACGUUAGUGAUUAAGGAGCUUCCCUAACUUUGAGGCAAAGGAAAUAAAGGUGGCAAACCGGCGAGGGGCAGGAAGGAAGCGUGAUUGCCAUAGGAAAUGUGUCAUUUUGCUUCCGCUUAUGGUUUCUUUUGAAGCUUAAGAUGUUUGGUUAAUCGCGGGACCACAAACAUAUGGUUGUCCAAAACUGGAGGGUGCCAAUGACUUGCUCACUUCAAUCCCCGAUCUGUUAUGGAGUUGGUCAGCCCCAUUCCCACAGAAGAAAGGUUUCCGUAAAGGUUCGACAGACUGAUUUGCAUUGCUGUACAAAUUUGACAGUUUUGUAGGUUGUUGUUUGGCGACAAUAGGUGGCGCUUGCGGCUGUCGAUGACCGAAAGGGUGAAACGGUUGGAUAGGGGAUGGCGCAUAGAGGCAGAUGAGAUGGACAGCGAGAUGAACAGACGGCUGUGCGUGGGCCCACGCGCCCAACAGAAGCGGCACAUGUGGUGGUUUUUGGCCGAAAUAUUGGAUGGAUGGCGACGAGGGUUGGCCCACUGUGUAGAUCAGCACCUUUUGAAUCUGGUGGAGUAGUUUUUCUAUAGUGGUGUCCACGAUGGCGGUGGCGGUAAUGUUUGUUUUGUUUAGGGUGUUUCCUAAAUUUUUUUCUAGGGGUUCGUUGUUGUUUGCUAUGAUACCAUAUUGAAAAUAAUAAACACAAAACCAAGGUUUACGUGGAAACCCAAAAAUCAGAAGAAAAACCACGAUGUUUUAAGUUUUAUUAUUUUUCUGAUAAUAAUAAUGGUACAAAUGAGGGAACUUAAAUAGGGUGUAAA
Molecule: long non-coding RNA, 1709 nt
Organism: Cucumis sativus (cucumber)
Lineage: Eukaryota; Viridiplantae; Streptophyta; Magnoliopsida; Cucurbitales; Cucurbitaceae
Exons: 3
Source: RefSeq, a predicted model, not a curated record